RNAcentral lists this ribosomal RNA (561 nucleotides) under uncultured bacterium. Its description in RNAcentral is "partial 16S ribosomal RNA". It matches the Rfam family "Bacterial small subunit ribosomal RNA", at positions 355 to 912 of the family's 1533-position model. The record is from RNAcentral.
UGGGGAAUUUUGGACAAUGGGCGAAAGCCUGAUCCAGCAAUGCCGCGUGUGUGAAGAAGGCCUUCGGGUUGUAAAGCACUUUUGUCCGGAAAGAAAUCCUUGGCUCUAAUACAGUCGGGGGAUGACGGUACCGGAAGAAUAAGCACCGGCUAACUACGUGCCGGCAGCCGCGGUAAUACGUAGGGUGCAAGCGUUAAUCGGAAUUACUGGGCGUAAGCGUGCGCAGGCGGUUUGCUAAGACCGAUGUGAAAUCCCCGGGCUCAACCUGGGAACUGCAUUGGUGACUGGCAGGCUAGAGUAUGGCAGAGGGGGGUAGAAUUCCACGUGUAGCAGUGAAAUGCGUAGAGAUGUGGAGAAUACCGAUGGCGAAGGCAGCCCCCUGGGCCAAUACUGACGCUCAUGCACGAAAGCGUGGGGAGCAAACAGGAUUNGAUACCCUGGUAGUCCACGCCCUAAACGAUGUCAACUAGUUGUUGGGGAUUCAUUUCCUUAGUAACGUAGCUAACGCGUGAAGUUGACCGCCUGGGGAGUACGUCGCAAGAUUAAAACUCAAAUGAAUUG